RNAcentral lists this ribosomal RNA (468 nucleotides) under uncultured bacterium. RNAcentral's name for it is "partial 16S ribosomal RNA". It matches the Rfam family "Bacterial small subunit ribosomal RNA", at positions 28 to 507 of the family's 1533-position model. The record is from RNAcentral.
GACGAACGCUGGCGGCGUGCUUAACACAUGCAAGUCGAACGGAAAGGCCCUGCUUUUGUGGGGUGCUCGAGUGGCGAACGGGUGAGUAACAUGUGAGUAACCUGCCCUUUACUUGGGGAUAACUUCAGGAAACUGGUGCUAAUACCGGAUAGGUGCUCCUGCUGCAUGGUGGGGUUUGGAAAGUUUGGGAGGUUGGGGCUGGACUCGGGGCUUAUCAGCUGGUUGGUGGGGUAGUGGCUUACCAAGGCUUCGACUGGUGGCCGGCCUGAGAGGUUGACCGGCCACAUUGGGACUGAGAUACGGCCCAGACGCCUACGGGAGGCAGCAGUGGGGAGUAUUGCACAAUGGGGGGAAGCCUGAUGCAGCAAUGCCGCGUGCGGGAUGACGGCCUUCUGGUUGUAAAGCGCAUUCGCCUGUGACGAAGCGUGAGUGACGGUAAUGGGUAAAGAAGCACCGGCUAACUACGUG